Molecule: long non-coding RNA, 1982 nt
Filed under: Amborella trichopoda
Lineage: Eukaryota; Viridiplantae; Streptophyta; Magnoliopsida; Amborellales; Amborellaceae
Description: long non-coding RNA (ATRI_LNC001405)
Source: RNAcentral
CUGUUUCAAAUUUUUUGCAUUGCAAACUAUGAAAAUGAAUCACUAUUUAAGAGAUGGAAACGCACAUGAGAGAACAAAGCACAGUGAAAAUGAUAGCGACUUCAUAAAAGCGAGCCAUGUUGCCAAGGAGAUAAAACCUCCAAUCAAAGGAGUCGCUAGUAGAUAUGUUUACACCAAGCUCCAAUACAUAUUCUAACUUACUCAUGAUUAGACUCCAAUGCUCCAAUUCAAGGGAAGUGUUGAAUGAAUGAAUGUAAAACAUGUUAUGGGAUAUGUUGCAGAAAUAUUUGUAUACCCUACUCUCUAGAGGAGCAGAAGAGGGAACAAGAGUAGUAAGCAUUGCAUGCAAGAAAUUCUGAGAUGAUCUUUUCUACUAUUGGGAAGACUUACUGAAAGAUGCCUAAAGUUACUCUAUCAAGACUUAGUACACCCCACAUCCGAUUCCCUGACCGAUGGCGUACUUUUGCUCCUUUUGGUAUUGUUGGAAAUUCUAAGAUAUGGAAACUUUGUAGGCAAUACUUCUUUUUCUAGAGUUAUAGAGAGCUCACAAAUAAACUAGGGUUUCUACAAACCCUAUAGGAACAAAUUAAGGUUAAAUAUGUGAGUUGAUAUCUCUUUGGGCUAGGCUUCUCUCUUCUUUCUUCAAAAUACAGUAAACCCUAGAAUAGGGUUUCACGUGCCACCACCUAUUUUUCUUUCACUAUGGGUAGCGUGAACUCCUGGCAAAAAUCAAGAGAGGGUGGCAUGGAAAAAUGAACGAAGAGAUAAUUUUGGGCGUGAGAGAGAGUGUUAUGUCAUAAACUGGGAAAGAGAUUCAAAUAGCAUUAUAUAGAAAGAAAUCUAUCUCCCAUUUGGAAUAGGACUUCUUAAGUAUUGCCUUAAUAAACUUUUGAGAUGAAUCCAUCUACAAUAAUUUCUGCCAAGUUACCUAACAGAUUUGUCAAUCUAUAAAUCAUGUAGUGGAUGGCAACCCCAACUCAAGGUAAGACGUUUGGGUGGCAGCCCACACAUAUGGGAGCACUGACAAAGAUGUUGAUUUGCAUAAUAUGGUUGCAUUUGGGAAUUCUACUAGAAAUAUGGACUCCAAAUUUCAAGCUUGUAAAAAUCGUAAAAAUUUAAAUCUUUUCUCGCAAAAUAUUUCUCUCAUAUACCAAAGGGGAUUGGUGUGCGAUUCCUGACUUGUGGCAAUUUUGAAUCCAAAUCGAUGGGACAAUAAUUCCAAUAAUGUAGGAAUCACAAUUCCUAUUUCAUCAUAUCACGAUUCCGUAAGCCAUUAAACGGUUUGUGGUCAUGUGCGAUUCCUGAAUGGUAGGAAACUCGAUUACAACAAUGAUGGGAUACUGAUUCCUACAAAUAGGAAUCACAUUUCCUAUUUUAUUAGCUCAAGAUUCUGAUUAUCAAGAAUCAUGCCUCUAAUAAUUUUCAUUGUACGAGAGGCAAUUCCAAGAUUAGGCAUCAUCUGGCAUACGUGAUUACUCAAUUUUGAUUCCUAAAGCAAAUUGGAAUCACAAGCAUCCAACAACUAUAGCUUUAACAACCUUAUCCUCCAUUUUAACCAUAAUUCACUCCAAAUUUCUCUUUUAUAAAAAUGUCUAUGCUCAAUUAACAUAAUCAACUUAAAAACUUUAGUUACGGGCUUGCCCUUAUGGUAAUUUGGCACAUUUUACAGCAAUAAUUUAAAUUGAAUUUUCCCUCUAUUUUGGGUGAGCAUGUUCAACCAAUCACAUGGUGCCACAUGGGAUAGGUGGUUAUGUGCACAAUUAAACAUGUUCUUAGGGUUUCAACCAUAAUAUCAAACCCUAUGGCCUUUGUAGAAGCUUUCCCACAUGUGUACUCAGCCACAAUCCAAACACAAAAUAUGUACCAAAAUCCCAUUUUUGAGUUUCCAAAAUACCACCAAAAAUCGCAACUUAAAAUCACAUUUUUAGAACAAGUAAUCAAAUGACAAAUAGAUUCCCAUAGGGGGGUGAAGUAACCCCUCA